RNAcentral lists this ribosomal RNA (424 nucleotides) under uncultured bacterium. RNAcentral describes it as "bacterial SSU rRNA". It matches the Rfam family "Bacterial small subunit ribosomal RNA", at positions 355 to 776 of the family's 1533-position model. The record is from RNAcentral.
UAAGGAAUAUUGGUCAAUGGAGGCAACUCUGAACCAGCCAUGCCGCGUGCAGGACGACUGCCCUACGGGUUGUAAACUGCUUUUAUACGGGAAUAACCCCCACUACGUGUAGUGGGCUGAAUGUACCGUAAGAAUAAGGAUCGGCUAACUCCGUGCCAGCAGCCGCGGUAAUACGGAGGAUCCAAGCGUUAUCCGGAUUUAUUGGGUUUAAAGGGUGCGUAGGCGGCCUAUCAAGUCAGAGGUGAAAGACGGUAGCUUAACUAUCGCAGUGCCUUUGAAACUGGUGGGCUUGAAUGUACUUGAGGUGGGCGGAAUGUGACAAGUAGCGGUGAAAUGCAUAGAUAUGUCACAGAACCCCGAUUGCGAAGGCAGCUCACUAAGGUAUGAUUGACGCUGAUGCACGAAAGCGUGGGGAUCAAACAGG